GUCAAUAUGUCAAUAUCGUGAAAUGAUGUACCUACCGACGGAGACUGGCUUUUAAAAUUUAAAUUAUUAAUAAUUUUAAAUCUCGAUAUGCUAAUGAAACCAAAAUAAUUUAAUUUCAAUUUCAAUCAUGCCGGUUGCCUGUGCAGCUUAUGGCUGUAGUAAUAGGCGUAAACCUGAUGGCGGGUUGUCUUUUUUUGGGUUUCCUUUGGACAAUCCUGAACUAUUAAAACAGUGGUUACAGGCAAUGAAAAGAAAACAAUUUACUCCUUCACAAUAUUCCAAAAUUUGUAGUGAACAUUUUUUAUCUAGUGACAUUUUAGAUAGACCUGGUACAUACAAAAAACAUUUAAAACCAGAUGCUGUUCCGACAUUAUUCCCUGCUAUGCCUUCAUAUUACCAACCAAUUCCCAAAAAGCCUAGACGUAUAGUUCAACGUACAAUACCAAAAGAAGUCACUGUAUUGAGAAGUAAUGAGAACCAUCAAGUUAUGUCAUCAUCUAAUGAAAAUAACACUGAAGUUGAAAUUUGUUCAAGUGUAUCAAUUGAAAAUCAAAAUCUUAAAAUUGAUAAAAGUGUUCAAACUGAAGAAAAGCUUCUAGAUCACAGUGUUAUUGCUUUGAGACACAAAGUAAAAAUUUUACAACAAAAAGUUAGGAGGCAACAGUUAAAAAUAUCAAAUUUGAAAUAUUUAACAAUAUCAUUAAAGAAGAAAGGUUUUGUUGAUGAUUCAAUAGAAAAUGUAUUACUUGCUCAAUUUAUUGGUAUGACAUUAGAACUUUUUAAAAACCAGCUUAAAAAUGCUAAAAAGCUUCCGCAUGGACGUAGAUAUACUGAUGAGUUGAAACGGUUUGCUUUAACAUUGCAUUAUAAUUCUCCUAAGGCUUAUAAUUUUUGUAGAAGUACAAUAACUUUGCCACACCCAUCAUAUUACGAUUGAUACAGUAUUUAUUUAUAUUAACUGAUCAAAAUGAUAAUCAUUUGUAUGUAGGAUCAUAUAGAAUUAUUAUUCUCUCGUAUAAGAAAAAGGUAUGGCCUAAAUAACAACCCAAAUGUACUCCAAUUUAAAAUUGCUAUGAAACAAAUAAUUUUAAAA
Myzus persicae (green peach aphid) is the source of this 1093-nucleotide RNA transcript. It is a transcript of the gene named THAP domain-containing protein 1-like, with no coding region annotated. The transcript has 4 exons. Lineage: Eukaryota; Metazoa; Arthropoda; Insecta; Hemiptera; Aphididae. The record is from RefSeq and is a predicted model, not a curated record.